RNAcentral lists this small nuclear RNA (160 nucleotides) under Dasypus novemcinctus (nine-banded armadillo). RNAcentral describes it as "U1 spliceosomal RNA (ENSDNOG00000041241.1)". It matches the Rfam family "U1 spliceosomal RNA". From Rfam's summary of the family: U1 is a small nuclear RNA (snRNA) component of the spliceosome (involved in pre-mRNA splicing). Its 5' end forms complementary base pairs with the 5' splice junction, thus defining the 5' donor site of an intron. The record is from RNAcentral. Lineage: Eukaryota; Metazoa; Chordata; Mammalia; Cingulata; Dasypodidae.
AUACUUACCUGGCAGGGGAGAUGCCGUGAUCACGAAGGUGAUUUUCCCAGGGUGAAGCUGAUCCGUUGCUCUUCGGGUGUGCCGACCCCUGUGAUUUCUCCAAAUGUGGGACACUCAGCUGCAUAAUUUGUUGGUGGGGGACUGCAUUUGCACUCUCCCC